This 495-nucleotide ribosomal RNA is filed under the name uncultured bacterium. Its description in RNAcentral is "partial 16S ribosomal RNA". It matches the Rfam family "Bacterial small subunit ribosomal RNA", at positions 28 to 505 of the family's 1533-position model. The record is from RNAcentral.
GAUGAACGCUGGCGGCGUGCCUAAUACAUGCAAGUCGAGCGAACGGACGAGAAGCUUGCUUCUCUGAUGUUAGCGGCGGACGGGUGAGUAACACGUGGAUAACCUACCUAUAAGACUGGGAUAACUUCGGGAAACCGGAGCUAAUACCGGAUAAUAUUUUGAACCGCAUGGUUCAAAAGUGAAAGACGGUCUUGCUGUCACUUAUAGAUGGAUCCGCGCUGCAUUAGCUAGUUGGUAAGGUAACGGCUUACCAAGGCAACGAUGCAUAGCCGACCUGAGAGGGUGAUCGGCCACCCUGGAACUGAGACACGGUCCAGACUCCUACGGGAGGCAGCAGUAGGGAAUCUUCCGCAAUGGGCGAAAGCCUGACGGAGCAACGCCGCGUGAGUGAUGAAGGUCUUCGGAUCGUAAAACUCUGUUAUUAGGGAAGAACAUAUGUGUAAGUAACUGUGCACAUCUUGACGGUACCUAAUCAGAAAGCCACGGCUAACUACG